GGGGAUAUAGCUCAGUGGUAGAGCACAUGCAUGAGGUCCUGGGUUCAAUCCCCAGAACCUCUA
This 63-nucleotide transfer RNA is filed under the name Camelus bactrianus (Bactrian camel). It matches the Rfam family "tRNA". Rfam says of the family: Transfer RNA (tRNA) molecules are approximately 80 nucleotides in length. Their secondary structure includes four short double-helical elements and three loops (D, anti-codon, and T loops). Further hydrogen bonds mediate the characteristic L-shaped molecular structure. tRNAs have two regions of fundamental functional importance: the anti-codon, which is responsible for specific mRNA codon recognition, and the 3' end, to which the tRNAs corresponding amino acid is attached (by aminoacyl-tRNA synthetases). tRNAs cope with the degeneracy of the genetic code in two manners: having more than one tRNA (with a specific anti-codon) for a particular amino acid; and 'wobble' base-pairing, i.e. permitting non-standard base-pairing at the 3rd anti-codon position. Lineage: Eukaryota; Metazoa; Chordata; Mammalia; Artiodactyla; Camelidae. The record is from Rfam by way of RNAcentral. RNAcentral also lists the same sequence under 2 other names.